This 484-nucleotide ribosomal RNA is filed under the name uncultured bacterium. RNAcentral describes it as "partial 16S ribosomal RNA". It matches the Rfam family "Bacterial small subunit ribosomal RNA", at positions 30 to 507 of the family's 1533-position model. The record is from RNAcentral.
AUUGAACGCUGGCGGCAGGCCUAACACAUGCAAGUCGAGCGGAUGAAGGGAGCUUGCUCCUGGAUUCAGCGGCGGACGGGUGUGUAAUGCCUAGGAAUCUGCCUGGUAGUGGGGGAUAACGUCCGGAAACGGGCGCUAAUACCGCAUACGUCCUGAGGGAGAUAGUGGGGGAUCUUCGGACCUCACGCUAUCAGAUGAGCCUAGGUCGGAUUAGCUAGUUGGUGGGGUAAAGGCCUACCAAGGCGACGAUCCGUAACUGGUCUGAGAGGAUGAUCAGUCACACUGGAACUGAGACACGGUCCAGACUCCUACGGGAGGCAGCAGUGGGGAAUAUUAGACAAUGGGCGAAAGCCUGAUCCAGCCAUGCCGCGUGUGUGAAGAAGGUCUUCGGAUUGUAAAGCACUUUAAGUUGGGAGGAAGGGCAGUAAGUUAAUACCUUGCUGUGUUGACGGUACCAACAGAAUAAGCACCGGCUAACUUCGUG